GGCGACGUAGCCAAGUGGUAAGGCAGGGGUCUGCAAAACCCCCAUGCGUGGGUUCAAAUCCCACCGUCGCCU
RNAcentral lists this transfer RNA (72 nucleotides) under soil metagenome. It matches the Rfam family "tRNA". Rfam says of the family: Transfer RNA (tRNA) molecules are approximately 80 nucleotides in length. Their secondary structure includes four short double-helical elements and three loops (D, anti-codon, and T loops). The record is from RNAcentral.